This 378-nucleotide ribosomal RNA is filed under the name uncultured bacterium. RNAcentral describes it as "bacterial SSU rRNA". It matches the Rfam family "Bacterial small subunit ribosomal RNA", at positions 523 to 898 of the family's 1533-position model. The record is from RNAcentral.
AUACGUAGGGUGCAAGCGUUGUCCGGAAUUAUUGGGCGUAAAGAGCUCGUAGGCGGUUUGUCGCGUCUGCUGUGAAAUCUGGGGGCUCAACCCCCAGCCUGCAGUGGGUACGGGCAGACUAGAGUGCGGUAGGGGAGAUUGGAAUUCCUGGUGUAGCGGUGGAAUGCGCAGAUAUCAGGAGGAACACCGAUGGCGAAGGCAGAUCUCUGGGCCGUAACUGACGCUGAGGAGCGAAAGCAUGGGGAGCGAACAGGAUUAGAUACCCUGGUAGUCCAUGCCGUAAACGUUGGGAACUAGAUGUGGGGACCAUUCCACGGUCUCCGUGUCGCAGCUAACGCAUUAAGUUCCCCGCCUGGGGAGUACGGCCGCAAGGCUAAA